RNAcentral lists this ribosomal RNA (998 nucleotides) under Staphylococcus warneri. RNAcentral's name for it is "bacterial SSU rRNA". It matches the Rfam family "Bacterial small subunit ribosomal RNA", at positions 56 to 1019 of the family's 1533-position model. The record is from RNAcentral. Lineage: Bacteria; Bacillati; Bacillota; Bacilli; Caryophanales; Staphylococcaceae.
UGCAAGUCGAGCGAACAGAUAAGGAGCUUGCUCCUUUGACGUUAGCGGCGGACGGGUGAGUAACACGUGGAUAACCUACCUAUAAGACUGGGAUAACUUCGGGAAACCGGAGCUAAUACCGGAUAACAUAUUGAACCGCAUGGUUCAAUAGUGAAAGGCGGCUUUGCUGUCACUUAUAGAUGGAUCCGCGCCGUAUUAGCUAGUUGGUAAGGUAACGGCUUACCAAGGCAACGAUACGUAGCCGACCUGAGAGGGUGAUCGGCCACACUGGAACUGAGACACGGUCCAGACUCCUACGGGAGGCAGCAGUAGGGAAUCUUCCGCAAUGGGCGAAAGCCUGACGGAGCAACGCCGCGUGAGUGAUGAAGGUCUUCGGAUCGUAAAACUCUGUUAUCAGGGAAGAACAAAUGUGUAAGUAACUGUGCACAUCUUGACGGUACCUGAUCAGAAAGCCACGGCUAACUACGUGCCAGCAGCCGCGGUAAUACGUAGGUGGCAAGCGUUAUCCGGAAUUAUUGGGCGUAAAGCGCGCGUAGGCGGUUUUUUAAGUCUGAUGUGAAAGCCCACGGCUCAACCGUGGAGGGUCAUUGGAAACUGGAAAACUUGAGUGCAGAAGAGGAAAGUGGAAUUCCAUGUGUAGCGGUGAAAUGCGCAGAGAUAUGGAGGAACACCAGUGGCGAAGGCGACUUUCUGGUCUGUAACUGACGCUGAUGUGCGAAAGCGUGGGGAUCAAACAGGAUUAGAUACCCUGGUAGUCCACGCCGUAAACGAUGAGUGCUAAGUGUUAGGGGGUUUCCGCCCCUUAGUGCUGCAGCUAACGCAUUAAGCACUCCGCCUGGGGAGUACGACCGCAAGGUUGAAACUCAAAGGAAUUGACGGGGGACCCGCACAAGCGGUGGGAGCAUGUGGGUUUAAUUCCAAAGCAACGCGAAAAAACCUUACCCAAAUCCUUGAACAUCCCUUUGACCGCCUCUAGAAGAUAAAAGUUUUUCCCCCUU